AGCUCACUGGUCGAGUCGGCCUGCGCGGAAGAUGUAACGGGGCUAAACCAUGCACCGAAGCUGCGGCAGCGACACUGUGUGUUGUUGGGUAGGGGAGCGUUCUGUAAGCCUGUGAAGGUGUGUCGUGAGGCAUGCUGGAGGUAUCAGAAGUGCGAAUGCUGACAUAAGUAACGAUAAAGCGGGUGAAAAGCCCGCUCGCCGGAAGACCAAGGGUUCCUGUCCAACGUUAAUCGGGGCAGGGUGAGUCGACCCCUAAGGCGAGGCCGAAAGGCGUAGUCGAUGGGAAACGGGUUAAUAUUCCCGUACUUGGUGUUACUGCGAAGGGGGGACGGAGAAGGCUAUGUUGGCCGGGCGACGGUUGUCCCGGUUUAAGCGUGUAGGUGUGUGUUCCAGGUAAAUCCGGUUCACUUUAACACUGAGGCGUGACGACGAGGCACUACGGUGCUGAAGCAACAAAUGCCCUGCUUCCAGGAAAAGCCUCUAAGCAUCAGGUAACAUCAAAUCGUACCCCAAACCGACACAGGUGGUCAGGUAGAGAAUACCAAGGCGCUUGAGAGAACUCGGGUGAAGGAACUAGGCAAAAUGGUGCCGUAACUUCGGGAGAAGGCACGCUGACACGUAGGUGAAGUGAUUUACUCAUGGAGCUGAAGUCAGUCGAAGAUACCAGCUGGCUGCAACUGUUUAUUAAAAACACAGCACUGUGCAAACACGAAAGUGGACGUAUACGGUGUGACGCCUGCCCGGUGCCGGAAGGUUAAUUGAUGGGGUCAGCGCAAGCGAAGCUCCUGAUCGAAGCCCCGGUAAACGGCGGCCGUAACUAUAACGGUCCUAAGGUAGCGAAAUUCCUUGUCGGGUAAGUUCCGACCUGCACGAAUGGCGUAAUGAUGGCCAGGCUGUCUCCACCCGAGACUCAGUGAAAUUGAACUCGCUGUGAAGAUGCAGUGUACCCGCGGCAAGACGGAAAGACCCCGUGAACCUUUACUAUAGCUUGACACUGAACAUUGAGCCUUGAUGUGUAGGAUAGGUGGGAGGCUUUGAAGUGUGGACGCCAGUCUGCAUGGAGCCGACCUUGAAAUACCACCCUUUAAUGUUUGAUGUUCUAACGUGGACCCGUUACCCGGGUUGCGGACAGUGUCUGGUGGGUAGUUUGACUGGGGCGGUCUCCUCCUAAAGAGUAACGGAGGAGCACGAAGGUUGGCUAAUCCUGGUCGGACAUCAGGAGGUUAGUGCAAUGGCAUAAGCCAGCUUGACUGCGAGCGUGACGGCGCGAGCAGGUGCGAAAGCAGGUCAUAGUGAUCCGGUGGUUCUGAAUGGAAGGGCCAUCGCUCAACGGAUAAAAGGUACUCCGGGGAUAACAGGCUGAUACCGCCCAAGAGUUCAUAUCGACGGCGGUGUUUGGCACCUCGAUGUCGGCUCAUCACAUCCUGGGGCUGAAGUAGGUCCCAAGGGUAUGGCUGUUCGCCAUUUAAAGUGGUACGCGAGCUGGGUUUAGAACGUCGUGAGACAGUUCGGUCCCUAUCUGCCGUGGGCGCUGGAGAACUGAGGGGGGCUGCUCCUAGUACGAGAGGACCGGAGUGGACGCAUCACUGGUGUUCGGGUUGUCAUGCCAAUGGCACUGCCCGGUAGCUAAAUGCGGAAGAGAUAAGUGCUGAAAGCAUCUAAGCACGAAACUUGCCCCGA
This 1680-nucleotide ribosomal RNA is filed under the name Salmonella enterica. RNAcentral's name for it is "partial 23S ribosomal RNA". It matches the Rfam family "Bacterial large subunit ribosomal RNA", at positions 1139 to 2802 of the family's 2925-position model. The record is from RNAcentral. RNAcentral also lists the same sequence under 1 other name. Lineage: Bacteria; Pseudomonadati; Pseudomonadota; Gammaproteobacteria; Enterobacterales; Enterobacteriaceae.